Non-coding RNA from Alligator sinensis (Chinese alligator), 74 nucleotides. The record is from Rfam. Lineage: Eukaryota; Metazoa; Chordata; Crocodylia; Alligatoridae.
GGUGCCAUGGCUUAGCAAGUUAAAGUACCUCUCUUGUAAGCAGGAAAUCCUGUGUUCAAAUCCCAGUGGCACCU